Bubalus bubalis (water buffalo) is the source of this 3977-nucleotide long non-coding RNA. RefSeq lists it as uncharacterized. NCBI's taxonomy places the organism in Eukaryota, Metazoa, Chordata, Mammalia, Artiodactyla, Bovidae. The record is from RefSeq and is a predicted model, not a curated record. The transcript is spliced from 2 exons.
UUGCACCCAUCUCAGUUUGGCUCAGUUAUUGCACCCGUCUCAGUUUGGCUCAGUUGCACCAAUCAAACCCCAUAACUGCACCUUUAUUUUCCUUUCCUGGAAAUGACUUUCUUCACCCCUAGAUGCUUCAUUCCUCUCUAAGCGUCUCUAAAGAUGGAAAUAGACCUUUUCUCUGGAAUGAAUCCCGCUGUCAUCUCACUGGUACCUCUGAUUUUUUUUAUCUUGUGCCUUAAGAAUCCUGCCUGCUUUUGGACUUCCUACAGAUCCAGGCCUUGGUCUUAAGGUUUUAUUUAUUUAUUUAUUUUUUCAAAUUCUUUCUGGGAAGACCACUGGACCUUGAAAAUGUCUUUGACAAACCACAGAUGUUCAUGUUCAAAAGUGAAAAUACAUAGUAACAUCCUUUAAUAGUCUACAUCUCACCCUGGAGAACUCAUUUGGGCUGUUAACCCUAUAUUUCUUCCAACAUUAGUCUUAAUAAGAAUACCUCUUGUUUUUGAGUGUUUAUGUUCAAGGAAUCGUCUUGAACAUUUAUCAUGGCUUCUAUCAUUGAAUCCUUACAACAGUCCCAUGAGAUCCAGGUGAUGUCACGAUCCCCAAUUUACAGAGGAAGAAACCGAGAUCUAGAGGGGGUGCCCCGGAGCACAUGACCUGACAAGCACAACAUUCUGCUCCUCUUUUUUUUUUUUUUUCAGCUACUUUUUUAUUGACUAAGGCCAAGCUUGAUAGGUUGCAUUUGGCUAUUCCCCAGAAUAUCCAGCCUCUAGCCGAAAUAUCAGAGAGCAGUGAAUUGACCAAAAAAAAUAGAUUAAAAGAUAUAUAAUGAAGAAAAACAACAACUUUAGACAGAAAGUUGAGGAUCUGGGUUUAAGUUCUGGUUCUCCGCCAACAGGACGCUGACUUUCCCAAAGCGUCUGUUUUCUCAGACUGUUAACUGUGUCGGUGACAUCCACUUCUCAGGGUUGUUGUGAGCGUCCUAAGUGAGCCCACCGAGCUAGAGGCCUCGUGGUGCUAUUUCCAGGGGCCGCGAAGCUAAUCAUGCAUCAUUAAUAUGAAAGAGGAGCAGCCUCCGCUCUGGAACCAGAGUGCCCUUCAUUCGUGCUGCAGAGGCAUGCAACGGUUUCUCUGGCUGUGCCUUCUGCGGGGGAUGGUAUGAGGGGGCAAUCCAGGUAAGUGAGGGGAUGGGAACCACCCAGCCAACUUGUCUCAAGGCUCCUGGCUGCCCACCCUCUGUGCCUCCCGAGCGCUUUAUUUAUACUUGUCCUAUGAAAUAGCGGGCAAACAACAGGCUUCUUAUGUACAUUUUGGUACUGGGGGCUAGAACCAGAUGGGGGUCUCUGAUAAGAAUGUCGCAGCGCCCCGAAGGGCACAGGCUAGGCCUGCCUGGAAGCAACAUUCUCUUGACUGCUCAGACCUCUCUGGUUAGGGGUGGGAGUGGUGCAUGGCGGAAACACAGAGAAACAUCUAACAGAGAGGCUCUGACUGGGAAAUAGGACUGUAGCGAUGUGGGCUGCGGUGGGGGAGGGUUGGGAGCGGUAUGGACGCCCACUCAGCCCCCCAAGCCCCCUCAGAGUCAAUGCUGCAGCUCCUAUAGAGCAGAGAGGCGGGGGUGGGGCGGCCCCGGAGUGUCAGCCGCACCUCCGUGAACAGGCUGCAACUGCCCGCCAGUGCAGGCCUGCGAGGUCUGAGUCCUGGGGGAAUAGCUGGCGGUGAGUGGAAAGUGACAUGAAACAGGAAGCUGGGAGGGAAGGAUCCCAGGGGACCACCUUCCUCUAGCAAGUCGUUUGUAGCCGCGGUGGCCCUGCGUCUGCCUGCCUCCUGAAUCCACCACAGCGUGCUCGCAACCCAACAAGAUCCCAAAGGUCUUCCAUUUAUUCCAGCACACCUAGGAUUUCUUUUCUGAGUGCGGCCUGUGUGUGUGUAUACGAGAGAAACAGGCAGAGCAUCAAGGGUUCGUGUGUUGCAGAGGCCGGGAGGCUGGGAGGGGGGCUUCCCAUCCCCCUGGGGCCCGUCCUCUCUCGCCAGUGUAGCCAAAGGACACAUUGACUGUGGGGUCCUCCCGUUUCCCCAGGCUAAUUACAUGCCUCUUUAUGAAAGGAAAUAGUUUCCCGGCCGAGCUGGGAAACCCAAGUCCCCGGUGCCCCCUCGUCGCGGGUAUCAUGGGAAGGACAAGAAAGGAGGCAGCUGCUCACAGUUCCCCCUGCCUUCCCCGGCCUCGCCCGGGGCGCCCAACCCGGCCUGGAGACGCGGAGCGCCUCCUCCUCCACGCAGACGCCUCGGAAUCCACCUCUGGGCCGCGCUGAGAGACGCGGAUGCUGGGAGGAAACCCUGGCGAAGGAUGCGAGGAGACAGAUGGACGCAAAGAGACGCAGAGAGGAGAUCCCACGAUCCACAGUCGCUGCGAGACCCACAGCGAGAGGGAGGACGCCGCUGAGCGGGGAGGGAGCCGGCCGUGGAGCCCAGGGGAGGCUGACCCUGACCCUGACCUCGGGGCUGCCUACCCGAACUUCAACGCCUGUCUUCCAAUUCUUUGUUUUAAAAAAAAUGCCACAACUGGGGAGGCUGGGACUGGGGAAACCAUGCAGAGGAGUGAGGGGUAAGCUGCAUUUGUGGUCUUUUGAUGACGAUUCAGCAACCUCUUUCCUGAGGAAAAUCUGCCACUUGUUUAUUAUCCCUCAGUCAGUCCAGAAGCUCAGUGGUGUCCGAUGCUUUGUGAUCCCAUGGACUGCAGCACACCAGGCCUCCCUGUCCAUCACCAACUCCCAAAGUUUUACUCAGACUCAUGUCCAUCAAGUCAGUGAUGCCAUCCAACCAUCUCAUCCUCUGUCGUCCCCUUCUCCUCCAAGGAAGUCCCUCAAUUAUUAUACUUCAACUGCAGUCAACGCAGAGCUGGAUAAAGAAGCAGAGGACUGGAGACUGUGAACCCCUUGAAGGCAGAUAGAUCUCUCUCUCCUAUUUGAAAUCUUUAUUGAGAUCAUUGCAAAUUCACACACAAAAAGCUACUAACAAUAAUACAAAGACAUUCCUUGUACACUUUGCCCAUUUUUUCCCAAAGGUAACAUUUGCAAAGCUAUAGUAUAGUAUCACAACCAGGAUAUUGACCCUGAUACAGUCCACAGAUCUUACUCAGCGUUUCCAUUUUACGUGUGCCUGUGUGAGUGUUUAGUCUUAUACAGUUUUAUCACCUGUGUAUGUUUGAACUGUCACAAUCCAGAUUCUGAAGUUACGACAGGGAACAAGGAUCCCUGUGUUGCCCUUUUAUAACCAUCCCUGCCCGCUGUUCCUGGCAGGCACUAUUCUGUGAGUCAUUUCUAAGGUUUUAUUUCAAAAAUACUAUAUAAAAUAAAUCACAUCACAUGUGUCUUUUGGGAAUUGGCUUUUCUCUCUGCAUAAUUCCCUGAAGAUCCAUCCAAGUUGUUGUGUGCAUCAAUAAUUCAUCCCUUUUUUUCGUUUUUAUUUGUGAGUAGUAAUUUGUGGUAUGUUGGUACCAGAGUUUAUUUAACCAUUCACCUUUUGAAGGACAUAUGGGUUGUUUCCAGUUUGGGGCUUUUACAAAUAAGGCUGCUAUGGAUGUUCAGUUUAUGUGACUAUCAAGUGAUUUUCUAUCCAAUGACCGCAUUGCAUGGGCACACAGUGGGUCCUCAGUCAAUACUCCUUGGAGACUGAAGACAAUUGACUUUGGCACUUUCAUCCAAGAGGGAGGAUGGGAGGAUUACAGUAAUGACAAGAGUUACCCUCAACAAGGAACCAAAAAUCAAGGCUCCAUCUGAAGAAAGAACUGAUCAAAAGACACAGAGUCAUCAGCAUUAAGCAGUGGGGACAAUGAGGGCAAGAUGCUAUAUAGAGACAAAAGGUAAGGUUCAGCACACCACCUAGAGUAAUGGAAAUAAAAGCAAAAUUAAACAAGUGGGACCUAGUCAAACUUAAAAGCUUUUGCAGAGCAAAGAAAACUAUAAACAAAGUGAAAAGACAACCCUCAG